AGAGUUUGAUCCUGGCUCAGGAUGAGCGCUAGCGGCAGGCCUAACACAUGCAAGUCGAGGGGUAACAGAGAAGCUUGCUUCUGCUGACGACCGGCGCACGGGUGCGUAACGCGUAUGCAACCUACCUCAUACUGGAGAAUAGCCCUUGGAAACGAGGAUUAAUACUCCAUGGUAUCAUUCUUUCGCAUGUUAGAAUGAUUAAAGAAUUUCGGUAUGAGAUGGGCAUGCGUCCCAUUAGCUAGUUGGUGAGGUAACGGCUCACCAAGGCGACGAUGGGUAGGGGGCCUGAGAGGGUGGUCCCCCACACUGGUACUGAGACACGGACCAGACUCCUACGGGAGGCAGCAGUGAGGAAUAUUGGUCAAUGGAGGCAACUCUGAACCAGCCAUGCCGCGUGAAGGAUGACGGCCCUAUGGGUUGUAAACUUCUUUUAUAUGGGAAGAAACUUAUCUACGUGUAGAUAACUGACGGUACCAUACGAAUAAGGAUCGGCUAACUCCGUGCCAGCAGCCGCGGUAAUACGGAGGAUCCAAGCGUUAUCCGGAUUCAUUGGGUUUAAAGGGUCCGUAGGCGGAUUUUUAAGUCAGUGGUGAAAGCCGGCAGCUCAACUGUCGAACUGCCAUUGAUACUGGAAAUCUUGAGUACAAAUGAAGUAGGCGGAAUGAGUCAUGUAGCGGUGAAAUGCAUAGAUAUGACUCAGAACACCGAUUGCGAAGGCAGCUUACUAACAUGUAACUGACGCUGAGGGACGAAAGCGUGGGGAGCGAACAGGAUUAGAUACCCUGGUAGUCCACGCCGUAAACGAUCAUCACUCGCUGUUGGCGAUAUACUGUCAGCGGCCAAGCGAAAAUAUUAAGUGAUGCACCUGGGGAGUACGCCGGCAACGGUGAAACUCAAAGGAAUUGACGGGGGCCCGCACAAGCGGUGGAGCAUGUGGUUUAAUUCGAUGAUACGCGAGGAACCUUACCAGGGCUUAAAUGUAGUAUGACCGGUCUGGAAACAGACCUUCCCUUCGGGGCAGAUUACAAGGUGCU
Molecule: ribosomal RNA, 1034 nt
Filed under: uncultured bacterium
Lineage: Bacteria
Description: bacterial SSU rRNA
Rfam family: Bacterial small subunit ribosomal RNA
Source: RNAcentral